This 433-nucleotide ribosomal RNA is filed under the name uncultured bacterium. Its description in RNAcentral is "partial 16S ribosomal RNA". It matches the Rfam family "Bacterial small subunit ribosomal RNA", at positions 29 to 507 of the family's 1533-position model. The record is from RNAcentral.
AACGAACGCUGGCGGCAUGCCUAACACAUGCAAGUCGAACGAGACCUCCGGGUCUAGUGGCGCACGGGUGCGUAACGCGUGGGAACCUGCCCUUAGGUUCGGAAUAACUCCCCGAAAGGGGUGCUAAUACCGGAUAAUGUCUUCGGACCAAAGAUUUAUCGCCUUUGGAUGGGCCCGCGUUGGAUUAGCUGGUUGGUAGGGUAAAAGCCUACCAAGGCGACGAUCCAUAGCUGGUCUGAGAGGAUGAUCAGCCACACUGGGACUGAGACACGGCCCAGACUCCUACGGAAGGCAGCAGUGGGGAAUAUUGGACGAUGGGCGAAAGCCUGAUCCAGCAAUGCCGCGUGAGUGAUGAAGGCCUUAGGGUUGUGAAGCUCUUUUACCCGGGAUGAUAAUGACAGUACCGGGAGAAUAAGCUCCGGCUAACUCCGUG